CCUACGGGGGGCUGCAGUCGAGAAUCUUCCACAAUGGACGAAAGUCUGAUGGAGCGACGUCGCGUGAUGGAUGAAGAGCUUCGGUUUGUAAACAUCUUUUAUGAGGGAAUAAGUCUAUUGAAGGUACCUCAUGAAUAAGGACCUGCUAAACUCGUGCCAGCAGCAGCGGUAAUACGAGUGGUCCUAGUGUUAUCCGGAAUUAUUGGGCGUAAAGGGUCUGUAGGUUGCUUAAUUAGUCUCCCGUUAAAUCUUUGGGCUUAACCCAAAGCUUGCGGGGGAAACGGUUAGGCUAGAAUAUGCGAUAGGUAUACGGAACUCAUAGUGUAGGGGUGAAAUCCGUUGAUAUUAUGGGGAACACCAAAAGCGAAAGCAGUAUACUGGCGCAUUAUUGACACUCAAAGACGAAAGCGUGGGUAGCGAACGGGAUUAGAUACCCGAGUAGUC
This 444-nucleotide ribosomal RNA is filed under the name uncultured bacterium. RNAcentral's name for it is "bacterial SSU rRNA". It matches the Rfam family "Bacterial small subunit ribosomal RNA", at positions 338 to 795 of the family's 1533-position model. The record is from RNAcentral.